GGCAAAUCAACUAAAAAUUUUUCAAAGUACAGUAAUAUUAGAAUCGACUCUAAAAUUGUGGGUCUCAAGUUCAAACUUCAGUUGAAGUUCAGGCAGAACACACACACACACACACAGGAUUCAACUAUAGGACUCAGCAUCUUGGUAAAACCAUGACAAUUUUACUGAGACCCCUCAUCCCAUAUGAACCAUACCUCCACACACUCCAUAAUUAAAUUCGCAUAUAAUACUCUAAAAUUAGUCAAAAGGAAUCAUGUGUUGCAUGUUGCCUUUGCAAUGGUGAGUAGGAUUCUUUGGUCCAUGUGAAAAGGGAUGGCUAAAUCCAUAGCCAUGGAGAAAAUUAUGCAUGUGAAGGAAAGAAAAAAGGGGGGAAAAAUAAGUGCUAGUUGCAAAAGAGUAGGCAUUUUUCCUUUAGUACAAAUGUAGUUGUAGGAGACCCACCAAGCUCAUCUAGUCGGUGAUUGUUUUUAGGUGUUUGCAUGGGAAGAUGACUCAGUUAUUUUCCUUUUGAGCUGCUUACCAAUCAAUAUAUGUUCUUUUUUAUCAAAUUAGGGUCCCAUUUCUGAUGUGAAAUUAACUAGACACAAGUAGAUUCAUUAGGAUUGGGAGAGAAGCUUUUUUUUUUUUCUUACUAGUGGAGGACAAAUAAAACAAUUCAUAUAAAGUUUUGGGCAAAUUACUUUUUUGUAAUUGAGUUAUGUCAAAAUUAUUAUCUAUGCCUCAGUUUUUAAAAUUCAAUGAUUUAGUUUCUAUAUUUUAACUCCAUCAGACUGAAGUCUCUUUGUCAUUUUUAAAAAUAGUAUAUUCUUUUUCUGGUUUAAUAGAGUUAAAAUAUAUGGAUUAAACUAUUUAUUUUUGAAAAGUUGGGGAACAUAUGUGAUAAUUUUAACAUAAUCUAAGGAUGAAAAUAUAGUUUAACUUUAAGGGCAUUUUGGUCAUUUUACAGAAAAUUAAUGAAUAAUUGAAUGAAAGGAUCUUCAGUUUGAUGGAGUUAAAAUGCAAGAAUCCAUUUGCAUGAUUGAAUUUCUUUUUGUUUCCUCAUUGUCUUUAUGUGUUUCCAAAGCCCAAAUGCAAGCUCUCCCUUGCAUAUGAUCUCUCAUCUGUCUCUUUUGAUACAUUUAUUAAGCAUCUUGAUCUUUUCAUUCUCAUAUCAUUAUCUUUCUUUUAAUGCAAUUUAAUUCAUUCAUAAAAGGCUCUUGAAAUUCUUUGUACAGGGACAAUAAUGUGGGGAUUUCCAAUCCAGGAUUCAAUGGUGACGGGACCAGCACCGCCAGCGCCACCAACACGGGUAGUGCGGGGUCCUCCAGUGGUGAUGACGAUGGUAACUUUUUCGGAAUGAUAUUCGGGAGCGGCGCUUCACCACCCCCACCACCCACUUCUGUUAGCUCAAUAUUUUUGUCUCUUUUAAUUAUUUUAAUUUUGUACGCUUGUAUGGUUACCAACCAUGGUGCCAUAUUAUCAUUUCUAUUAUCAUUAUAGAAGUUGAAAUUGAAACAUUCAUCAAAUUAAGGUGUAAAUGGUGGAGAAAAGGGGAAAAAAAUUUCUAAGUAGUUUGGUGACAUUGUUCAUCCAAUUAUUGCAAUUGUAUAGCUUGAAAACAAGUACAAUGUCCAUUUUGUAGGAAAUUUUUAUAGGUCUUCAUUGAAUUUCAUUGAAUUUUAUCAUGUAUUUCACUUUUAUCACUCAAUUUAUUUUAUUAUUAAAAGUCUCUAAAAA
This 1716-nucleotide unclassified non-coding RNA is filed under the name Hevea brasiliensis (rubber tree). The record is from RNAcentral. Lineage: Eukaryota; Viridiplantae; Streptophyta; Magnoliopsida; Malpighiales; Euphorbiaceae.